AACGAACGCUGGCGGCAUGCCUAACACAUGCAAGUCGAACGAGACCUUCGGGUCUAGUGGCGCACGGGUGCGUAACGCGUGGGAACCUGCCCUUAGGUUCGGAAUAACUCCCCGAAAGGGGUGCUAAUACCGGAUAAUGUCUUCGGACCAAAGAUUUAUCGCCUUUGGAUGGGCCCGCGUUGGAUUAGCUAGUUGGUAGGGUAAAAGCCUACCAAGGCGACGAUCCAUAGCUGGUCUGAGAGGAUGAUCAGCCACACUGGGACUGAGACACGGCCCAGACCCCUACGGGGGGCAGCAGUGGGGAAUUGUGGACAAGGGGCGAAAGCCUGACCCAGAAAUGCCGGGUGAGGUAUGAAGGCCUUAGGGUUGUAAAGCUCUUUUACCCGGGAUGAUAAUGACCGUACCGGGAGAAUAAGCUCCGGCUAACUCCGU
This 432-nucleotide ribosomal RNA is filed under the name uncultured bacterium. RNAcentral's name for it is "partial 16S ribosomal RNA". It matches the Rfam family "Bacterial small subunit ribosomal RNA", at positions 29 to 506 of the family's 1533-position model. The record is from RNAcentral.